UCUCUCGCAGUUUAGUGGUCAGAGCAUUGGCGCGUAAAGUCAAAGGUGCCGGGUUCGAUUCCUGGCAAGGGUG
RNAcentral lists this transfer RNA (73 nucleotides) under Agrilus planipennis (emerald ash borer). It matches the Rfam family "tRNA". From Rfam's summary of the family: Transfer RNA (tRNA) molecules are approximately 80 nucleotides in length. The record is from Rfam by way of RNAcentral. Lineage: Eukaryota; Metazoa; Arthropoda; Insecta; Coleoptera; Buprestidae.